RNAcentral lists this ribosomal RNA (438 nucleotides) under uncultured bacterium. RNAcentral describes it as "partial 16S ribosomal RNA". It matches the Rfam family "Bacterial small subunit ribosomal RNA", at positions 338 to 796 of the family's 1533-position model. The record is from RNAcentral.
CCUACGGGGUGCAGCAGUGGGGAAUAUUGCACAAUGGGGGAAACCCUGAUGCAGCGACGCCGCGUGAGUGAAGAAGUAUCUCGGUACGUAAAGCUCUAUCAGCAGGGAAGAAAAUGACGGUACCUGACUAAGAAGCCCCGGCUAACUACGUGCCAGCAGCCGCGGUAAUCAUUAGGGGGCAAUCGUUAUUCGGUUUAACUGGGUGUAUAGGGAGAGUAGUCGGUAGCAAAAGUCUGGAGUGAAAUGCCGGGGCUUAACCCCGGAACUGCUUUGGAAACUGUGCGGCUGGAGUGCAGGAGGGGUAAGCGGAAUGUCGAGUGUAGCGGAGAAAUGCGUAGAUAUUAGGAGGAAAAGCGGUGGCGAAGGCGGCUUACUGGACUGUAACUGACGGUGAGGCGCGAAAGCGUGGGGAGCAAACAGGAUGAGAUACCCGAGUUC